This 317-nucleotide unclassified non-coding RNA is filed under the name uncultured fungus. RNAcentral describes it as "partial contains small subunit ribosomal RNA, internal transcribed spacer 1, and 5.8S ribosomal RNA". The stretch from base 1 to 73 matches the Rfam family "Eukaryotic small subunit ribosomal RNA", at positions 1759 to 1831 of the family's 1831-position model. The record is from RNAcentral. Lineage: Eukaryota; Fungi.
GCAAACUUGGUCAUUUAGAGGAAGUAAAAGUCGUAACAAGGUUUCCGUAGGUGAACCUGCGGAAGGAUCAUUAUAGAAAAACAACCUGGUUGGGGGGCUGUCGCUGGCCUUUCGAGGCAUGUGCACGCCUUCAACCAACACAUCCAUCCCACCCUUGUGCACCUUUGCGUGGGCUCUGAGGUCUCAUGACCUCUGGGCUUGCGUUUUUCUAUACACACACUAGAUGAAUGUUUUGAGAAUGUCUUGUACAGUAAAAUGUACCUUGUACAACUUUCAACAACGGAUCUCUUGGCUCUCGCAUCGAUGAAGAACGCAGC